UUGGCUCUGGCUGCCUGGGUCCUGCUGGUGAGGUCUCUCUUCACCUUGUUCCAUAGCUCCUGCUUGAGGAGCCAGCCUAGCUCACUGCUGCCGUCUGGGGACAAAGAAUGCUCUCACUGUGCCCUUUCCUCAGAUGAGGGGUCUGGCCCAGCAGAGACAUAGCAAUCUGAACAGAAGAAAUCCAGAUCCUGUUCAUUUUACUACCUGUGCCCCGGGGUUCAAAGAUUGGUUAUAAUUUUGGUCUUCAUUUCCCAGACAUUUUUGCUUUUCCUCUCAGCGUAAAAAGGCAGCAUGGACUUUCUAAAUGAUGUGAGGCAAAGAGCAGGAGAAGGAGGAGGGGGUACUCUGAAGAGAAAACUACCUAAGUCUCUAAUAUGUCUCUUCUGAGCUUCUUAGAGCAAAGAGAGCAGAGCUCCCAGACAGGGAAAAAAUCUUAAGAGGCUCUUGAUAGGAAAUGUGCUGGCACUUGUCAUCUACCCAAUGGCUCCUAAUCCUCUUUUCAUGAACUGAAAUCCCCUUGAAUUGGAUUAUAAAAUUCCUCUUGGUAGAAGGCACUUCACUUAAAAAAGCAAAGCCCUUGAUUGAGAAAGAAAACAAACAUUAAUUUGAAAUUUUUUUGCCUUCGGGAAGAAGAUGUGGGCAGACACGUUGAAGGAGCCUGGCUCCUGCCUUUUGACCUCUGCGUUCCCGGAUAUGUGGGAUAAUGGCUUGUAACUGGCUGACGUCUCUGACCUGGAAUCAGACUGACAGAUGUGAGAUGGCAAGUCCAGGGAGAAGAAUGGAGAUGCUGGCAGUUUUAAGCAUGGCUACAGACUCACACAGUUCCUGUGAUUUUCUUGCCCCCAUAGUCAACACAGGAAGAGGAACAAAGGAGUCACCUUUUCCUCUUUCCUGGAUUUCAGGGGAAGCAGACACUGGAGUGGAAACAAAGCCUGAGGACUCUCAUCUAAGCUUCCGGCCCCUCAUUUUAUAAUACGGAGUUUAAUACCUGCUCACUUCCUACUGCUAUUUGCCUGGAAAGACCAUGGUCACUGCCCAGUGUGAUUCAGAUGGAGUCAUAUGGAGGAAGAACCAGCAUAACCAUGACCCAUGUUGUAUUAAUGUAACCAUGAGAAAAUCAUUUGGAGCUUUCUGUCAUUGAUACAUAUGUUAGGGUAGAACUUUCAUUCUCCUCCUUUGUAUCAGGGCCAAGUAAAGGCAUAUGUCUUCUAUUUAUUUCCUUGAAAUGAUUCUUAGAUGAUCAUAUUCCUUAGUAUAAUCCCAGCUUGGUUCUAUAUUCUUACAACCAGGCAUUUUUCUUUUCUUUUUGGAGGGAGGUGACUUGGAAUCAUAGAGAAAUAUUAAUCAUUUGGUGUGGUUUUCUUGAUUAAAGGAAUUGUA
Molecule: long non-coding RNA, 1380 nt
Organism: Mirounga angustirostris (Northern elephant seal)
Lineage: Eukaryota; Metazoa; Chordata; Mammalia; Carnivora; Phocidae
Exons: 4
Source: RefSeq, a predicted model, not a curated record